UGGGGAAUAUUGCGCAAUGGGCGGAAGCCUGACGCAGCAACGCCGCGUGCGGGAUGACGGCCUUCGGGUUGUAAACCGCUUUCAGCAGGGACGAAGCGUGAGUGACGGUACCUGCAGAAGAAGCACCGGCCAACUACGUGCCAGCAGCCGCGGUGAUACGUAGGGUGCGAGCGUUGUCCGGAAUUAUUGGGCGUAAAGAGCUCGUAGGUGGUUGAUCGCGUCGAAAGUGAAAUCUCAGGGCUUAACCCUGAGCGUGCUUUCGAUACGGGUCGACUAGAGGAAGGUAGGGGAGAAUGGAAUUCCUGGUGGAGCGGUGGAAUGCGCAGAUAUCAGGAGGAACACCAGUGGCGAAGGCGGUUCUCUGGACC
Molecule: ribosomal RNA, 368 nt
Filed under: uncultured bacterium
Lineage: Bacteria
Description: partial 16S ribosomal RNA
Rfam family: Bacterial small subunit ribosomal RNA
Source: RNAcentral